This 425-nucleotide unclassified non-coding RNA is filed under the name soil metagenome. RNAcentral's name for it is "partial contains 5.8S ribosomal RNA, internal transcribed spacer 2, and large subunit ribosomal RNA". The stretch from base 1 to 120 matches the Rfam family "5.8S ribosomal RNA", at positions 35 to 154 of the family's 154-position model. The record is from RNAcentral.
GAUGAAGAACGUAGCGAAAUGCGAUAAGUAGUGUGAAUUGCAGAAUUCCGGGAAUCAUCGAAUCUUUGAACGCACAUUGCGCCUUCUGGUAUUCCGGAAGGCAUGCCUGUUCGAGAGUCAUUAACAACCGUUUCGAUCCCUUUCUUUCAGAAAUUACAAAGAGGAAAAGGGUUUGGUUAUGGUGGAGGAGGGAAAGGGAGCGUUUAGCCUGUAAAAAAAGAGGCUGUGUUCCGCCUCCCCCCCAAAAUUGUACAGGCGGUCGUGUGCGCCCACGCAUCGAGGUGUUGUAAAAGCUGCCACGGCACUUUUCACCUGUGCAGUGCGAGAUUGGCCAGCCGGUUUAAAAACCCCUCCAAACAAUCAAAGGUUGACCUCGGAUCAGGUAGGGAUACCCGCUGAACUUAAGCAUAUCAAUAAGCGGAGGA